GAUGAAGAACGUAGCAAAAUGCGAUAAGUAAUGUGAAUUGCAGAAUUCAGUGAAUCAUCGAAUCUUUGAACGCACAUUGCGCCCGCUGGUAUUCCGGCGGGCAUGCCUGUUCGAGCGUCAUUUCAACCCUCAAGCCCCCGGGUUUGGUGUUGGGGAUCGGCUCUGCCCUUCUGGGCGGUGCCGCCCCCGAAAUACAUUGGCGGUCUCGUUGCAGCCUCCAUUGCGUAGUAGCUAACACCUCGCAACUGGAACGCGGCGCGGCCAUGCCGUAAAACCCCAACUUCUGAAUGUUGACCUCGGAUCAGGUAGGAAUACCCGCUGAACUUAAGCAUAUCAAUAAGCGGAGGA
RNAcentral lists this unclassified non-coding RNA (348 nucleotides) under soil metagenome. Its description in RNAcentral is "partial contains 5.8S ribosomal RNA, internal transcribed spacer 2, and large subunit ribosomal RNA". The stretch from base 1 to 120 matches the Rfam family "5.8S ribosomal RNA", at positions 35 to 154 of the family's 154-position model. The record is from RNAcentral.